This 620-nucleotide ribosomal RNA is filed under the name uncultured bacterium. Its description in RNAcentral is "bacterial SSU rRNA". It matches the Rfam family "Bacterial small subunit ribosomal RNA", at positions 340 to 950 of the family's 1533-position model. The record is from RNAcentral.
CACGGGAGGCAGCAGUGGGGAAUUUUGGACAAUGGGCGAAAGCCUGAUCCAGCAAUGCCGCGUGAGUGAAGAAGGCCUUCGGGUUGUAAAGCUCUUUUGUCAGGGAAGAAACGGUGAGAGCUAAUAUCUCUUGCUAAUGACGGUACCUGAAGAAUAAGCACCGGCUAACUACGUGCCAGCAGCCGCGGUAAUACGUAGGGUGCAAGCGUUAAUCGGAAUUACUGGGCGUAAAGCGUGCGCAGGCGGUUUUGUAAGUCUGAUGUGAAAUCCCCGGGCUCAACCUGGGAAUUGCAUUGGAGACUGCAAGGCUAGAAUCUGGCAGAGGGGGGUUAGAAUUCCACGUGUAGCAGUGAAAUGCGUAGAUAUGUGGAGGAACACCGAUGGCGAAGGCAGCCCCCUGGGUCAAGAUUGACGCUCAUGCACGAAAGCGUGGGGAGCAAACAGGAUUAGAUACCCUGGUAGUCCACGCCCUAAACGAUGUCUACUAGUUGUCGGGUCUUAAUUGACUUGGUAACGCAGCUAACGCGUGAAGUAGACCGCCUGGGGAGUACGGUCGCAAGAUUAAAACGUCAAAGAGUAGUGACGNGAGAGAGACGACGACGACGACGAGGAGGGAGGAG